GAGGCAGCAGUGGGGAAUAUUGCACAAUGGGCGCAAGCCUGAUGCAGCGACGCCGCGUGGGGGAUGACGGCCUUCGGGUUGUAAACUCCUUUCGCUAGGGACGAAGCUUUUUGUGACGGUACCUAGAUAAGAAGCACCGGCUAACUACGUGCCAGCAGCCGCGGUAAUACGUAGGGUGCGAGCGUUGUCCGGAAUUACUGGGCGUAAAGGGCUCGUAGGUGGUUUGUCGCGUCGUCUGUGAAAUUCCGGGGCUUAACUCCGGGCGUGCAGGCGAUACGGGCAUAACUCGAGUACUGUAGGGGUAACUGGAAUUCCUGGUGUAGCGGUGAAAUGCGCAGAUAUCAGGAGGAACACCGAUGGCGAAGGCAGGUUACUGGGCAGUUACUGACGCUGAGGAGCGAAAGCAUGGGUAGCGAACAGGAUUAGAUACCCUGGUAGUCCAUGCCGUAAACGGUGGGCGCUAGGUGUGAGGGUCUUUUCACGACUUUCGUGCCGUAGCUAACGCAUUAAGCGCCCCGCCUGGGGA
RNAcentral lists this ribosomal RNA (526 nucleotides) under uncultured bacterium. RNAcentral describes it as "bacterial SSU rRNA". It matches the Rfam family "Bacterial small subunit ribosomal RNA", at positions 345 to 879 of the family's 1533-position model. The record is from RNAcentral.